Molecule: long non-coding RNA, 738 nt
Filed under: Mytilus galloprovincialis (Mediterranean mussel)
Lineage: Eukaryota; Metazoa; Mollusca; Bivalvia; Mytilida; Mytilidae
Source: RNAcentral
UUUGUGUUGUUGAAUGAAAGUAAUGCGUGCAUAAGGUCCUAAGGGGGAGAUCGAGAUGCCAGACGUUCGGAUUUUUCUGCAUUGUUGAUACUGGUGUGUAUGCCAAUGGAUGCUAGUUGUGAGAACUGGUCAGCCACGAGUAUUUCAGUUAUAUUAUAAAUGUAUUUACAUGAUUAUUUGGAAAAUGAUUUUAGUCUUAUACGGAAGUGAUUACAUAGUUUGAAUGUAAAAGUGCAUUUUUCUUCUUCUUGAAUUUGUAUAUGGAUAACACAUAAAUUUUGAUAAAAUUGGGAAAUUUUCUUUUUGAGGGCGGGAUGUUAUGUAUCUGUAUUGUAUGGUCGUAUGUGUUUUGUAGUUUAGUCGUAAGAGUUGUGUCCCUUUGUACAUGUUGUAUGAUGAUGAUGCAUAUUUGUCAUGUGAUGUUAUCAGUCUCUUUGAAAUAAACGUGCUAUGGAAAUAGACAUCUUUUUGUUGCUCUUAAGCAAAUAUAACUUUAGCGGCAUGGGGAGGCAAGUAUAUGUCCCCCGAUGUACGUAAUACAAAUUUGAUAAAGUUAAAAUCUUUUGAUAAGCAUUGUCUUCUUACUUUGCUGCAGAGCCCUAGCUCUUAAGUUCUUUAGAAUUUUUAUUUUUAUUUAAAAAUUUUGGAAUUGCAACCCAGGUUCAGCAUGUUCAGGUCAUAUUUAUUUCCCCAAAAAAUUUAAUGUCUUAAUUACUUCUUUCCGUAAAGCUCUUUUUG